GRUKGKGCAUUCGGGCAGAGAUGCCUUAGUGCCUUCGGGAACCGUGAGACAGGUGCUGCAUGGCUGUCGUCAGCUGAGUGKGAAAUGUUGGGUUAAGUCCCGCAACGAGCGCAACCCUUAUCCUUUGUUGCCAGCGGUCCGGCCGGGAACUCAAAGGAGACUGCCAGUGAUAAACUGGAGGAAGGUGGGGAUGACGUCAAGUCAUCAUGGCCCUUACGACCAGGGCUACACACGUGCUACAAUGGCGCAUACAAAGAGAAGCGACCUCGCGAGAGCAAGCGGACCUCAUAAAGUGCGUCGUAGUCCGGAUUGGAGUCUGCAACUCGACUCCAUGAAGUCGGAAUCGCUAGUAAUCGUGGAUCAGAAUGCCACGGUGAAUACGUUCCCGGGUCUUGUACACACCGA
This 405-nucleotide ribosomal RNA is filed under the name Citrobacter sp. 146(2012). RNAcentral describes it as "bacterial SSU rRNA". It matches the Rfam family "Bacterial small subunit ribosomal RNA", at positions 989 to 1393 of the family's 1533-position model. Lineage: Bacteria; Pseudomonadati; Pseudomonadota; Gammaproteobacteria; Enterobacterales; Enterobacteriaceae. The record is from RNAcentral.